Molecule: microRNA precursor, 84 nt
Filed under: Bombyx mori (domestic silkworm)
Lineage: Eukaryota; Metazoa; Arthropoda; Insecta; Lepidoptera; Bombycidae
Description: mir-2807 microRNA precursor family
Rfam family: mir-2807 microRNA precursor family
Source: Rfam by way of RNAcentral
UUGACUCAAAUUUAUAUGGAGUUGGAACGUUUGCCUACGUUUGCUGCUAGGGGUGCUGUUCUAACUGCAUACAAAUUUGAGUAA